GGGACAUUUCAUCGGAGGAUGUGAAGACUUAGGCUUUGAAGGCGCAGGUGGCGGAAGUGCAGGAGCUGCUGGAGCCGCAGGAGCAGGGGCACUUGCAGGAGGCAAUUGUGGUUGAUAAAAGCCCUGCUGAACAGAAGGUGGGGCCAUAGCAACAGGUGGCUGGGGCAAUGCCGCCUUCUUCCUUAUAAGGAAGAAGGCGGCAUUCUGUGGUUGAUAAAAACCCUGCUGAACAGAAGGUGGGGCCAUAGCAACAGGUGGCUGGGGCAAUGCCGCCUUCUUCCUUUUAAGGAUUUCACAAUCCUUUUGCUUCAGCUGCAGUUCCACAAUAUCCCUCGAAUCUAGGCAAUAAACAGGCAUGGCAGUUUCAUAGAAGUCACUGCAACUAAGGGUAUUAAACGGGCCGGGUCAGCCCGGUUCCGGACCGGCCUAGACCGGUUAAAGGAGGUUGGGUUGGGUUAGGGGGCCGCACGGGUUGUUCCGUUUAUAUUUUAAAUACCGGUUACCCGGAUCGGUACAACCCGUUAGAUGAACAGUGCCGUUAAACCGGUUAACCGGCCCGGACCGGAUCGCCCCAUACUGGUUUAAUGGUAAGUUUUUUUGUUUUUAAUUUUUUUUUUGGGAGCUUUACAUACCUGUCUAACUUUUAAAAACAUAAUAGUGGUAUAUUCUAGUAUUAAUAUUUUAUAUCUUACACAUACCAUGAAUAUAUACCAAUUAUUGUAUACUAAUUAACAUAAUUUAAAAUUAUCGGAAUUUAACAUAGUAUGAUACAUGUAAUAAUAGUGGAAUACUUUUGUCACUUUUUUGUAUAUUUUUCAGUGGAAAUUGGUUUGAGUAUAUAUUUUAUAAGUCUUGAUUAUACCAUGCAUAUAUAUUUUAUACGUAUUUAAAAUGAAAGAAAUAUAAUUUAAAUCAUAUAGGAGUAUUAUAUAAGGUAAAAUACCGGAUCCUAGGUU
Molecule: long non-coding RNA, 956 nt
Filed under: Nicotiana benthamiana
Lineage: Eukaryota; Viridiplantae; Streptophyta; Magnoliopsida; Solanales; Solanaceae
Description: long non-coding RNA (NBEN_LNC012088)
Source: RNAcentral